GUGGGUAGUUUGACUGGGGCGGUCUCCUCCUAAAGAGUAACGGAGGAGCACGAAGGUUGGCUAAUCCUGGUCGGACAUCAGGAGGUUAGUGCAAUGGCAUAAGCCAGCUUGACUGCGAGCGUGACGGCGCGAGCAGGUGCGAAAGCAGGUCAUAGUGAUCCGGUGGUUCUGAAUGGAAGGGCCAUCGCUCAACGGAUAAAAGGUACUCCGGGGAUAACAGGCUGAUACCGCCCAAGAGUUCAUAUCGACGGCGGUGUUUGGCACCUCGAUGUCGGCU
This 277-nucleotide ribosomal RNA is filed under the name Salmonella enterica subsp. enterica serovar Anatum. RNAcentral's name for it is "partial 23S ribosomal RNA". It matches the Rfam family "Bacterial large subunit ribosomal RNA", at positions 2261 to 2537 of the family's 2925-position model. The record is from RNAcentral. Lineage: Bacteria; Pseudomonadati; Pseudomonadota; Gammaproteobacteria; Enterobacterales; Enterobacteriaceae.